This 233-nucleotide ribosomal RNA is filed under the name uncultured bacterium. RNAcentral describes it as "partial 16S ribosomal RNA". It matches the Rfam family "Bacterial small subunit ribosomal RNA", at positions 1267 to 1500 of the family's 1533-position model. The record is from RNAcentral.
GCUAAUCUCCAAACCAUGUCUCAGUUCGGAUCGGAGUCUGCAACUCGACUCCGUGAAGCUGGAUUCGCUAGUAAUCGCGAAUCAGAAUGUCGCGGUGAAUACGUUCCCGGGUCUUGUACACACCGCCCGUCACACCAUGGGAGUCGGAUAUGCCCGAAGUCAGUGACCCAACCAUAUGGAGGGAGCUGCCGAAGGUGGAGCCGAUAACUGGGGUGAAGUCGUAACAAGGUAAC